Molecule: ribosomal RNA, 206 nt
Filed under: uncultured bacterium
Lineage: Bacteria
Description: partial 16S ribosomal RNA
Rfam family: Bacterial small subunit ribosomal RNA
Source: RNAcentral
UACGUAGGGUGCGAGCGUUGUCCGGAAUUAUUGGGCGUAAAGAGCUCGUAGGCGGUUUGUUGCGUCUAUCGUGAAAACCUGCAGCUUAACUGUGGGCUUGCGGUGGAUACGGGCAGACUUGAGUUCGGUAGGGGAGACUGGAAUUCCUGGUGUAGCGGUGAAAUGCGCAGAUAUCAGGAGGAACACCGGUGGCGAAGGCGGGUCUC